GUUAGUCUUUGCUGAGAAGCUCUGUGUGCAUAUUGGGGCAUAUCUUCAACACUCAGUCAGGUUUUUCUCAAAUCUGCCUUUGCCUUUACUUCCUGUUUGCAUAAAGCCACAAGAUUAUUCAGUGAUGAGAAUUUAGGACCUUCUUAUGUCUUUCCUAAGAAGGAGAGAACACUGUCUGCCUGUGUGUGGCCUUCAAGAUUCCUGGGAAUACUGCUGAGUUUUUCAAAGCCUUAGGAACAUCUAAUUUCCAGCUUUUACUUUUAAGCUUUUUGUUUAUACUAUUGUUUGAUAGAAAUAUUAUCCACUGCCUUAGGACCAUAAAGUUAAACAAUAAUUCCCUGUUGUGUUUCUUUGUUUGUUUUUACCAACUCCUCCCCUCCCCUACCUCCAGGAAAAGGCUGUUCAUGCUGGGUGAGCUCUAAGUCAUGUCAGUAUAGAUAGCUUUGCAAGUGGGGUCUUCCAUGAAAUUACCAGGUAAGUCAGACAACGGUAAUUAUUUGGGAAUGAGCUCUAACCGUCUCUGUUGUCUCUAGUGCCUGCACUAUUGUUGCUUUUUACUGCAAAUGUGGGCUAUUAUUUUUCAAGGCUACCCCACAGCUGGAGAACAAGUGAUGAGAAUAAAGCUAAAAAGCAAAAAAAAAAAAGCCAUAAGUUCUUCCUAAGAUUCAGUCACUUUUCUUGAAUGAAUACUCCCUGAGUUACUACAAGACUUUGGUUAAUUUCUAGAGUUCUCAAAUAGGUGGAUUCUAACUUUAAAAAUAUUUUUACUCAUUGGUUUUGUGGAAGAAAAUAUUUAUCUUUUAACUUUCAUUUCAGGUUCAUUGGUAUAUGUGCAGACUUUUUCUAUAGGUAAAUUGCUUGCUGUGGGAGUUUGGUGUACAGACUUUCAUCACCCAGGUAAUAAGCAUUGUAUUCGAUAGGUAGUUUUUCUAUCUCUCCCCCUUCCUUCUCCCAUGCUUCACCCUCAAGUAGGCCCUGGUGUCUGCAGGUCCCUUCUUUGCGUCCAUGUGUACUCAAUGUUUAGCUCCCACUUAUAGGUAGGAACGUGCAGUAUUUGGUUUUCUAUUCCUGCUUUAGUUUGCAUCAGAUAAUGGCCUCCAGCUCCAUCCAUGUUGCUGCAAAGGACAUGAUCUCAUUCUUUGUUAUGGCUGCAUAGUAUUUAUAUAUAUAUACACACACACACAAAAAUUAAUUUUUGAUUAAAAUAUUAGGAAGUAUAAAGUAGAUCAGUCAAAAAGAUAUG
RNAcentral lists this long non-coding RNA (1243 nucleotides) under Homo sapiens (human). Its description in RNAcentral is "non-protein coding lnc-DMRTA1-16:2". The record is from RNAcentral. Lineage: Eukaryota; Metazoa; Chordata; Mammalia; Primates; Hominidae.